Molecule: long non-coding RNA, 3600 nt
Organism: Limulus polyphemus (Atlantic horseshoe crab)
Lineage: Eukaryota; Metazoa; Arthropoda; Merostomata; Xiphosura; Limulidae
Exons: 2
Source: RefSeq, a predicted model, not a curated record
UGUCCCCCCCCCACCCCCCGUGUUUAUUUUACGUCCGCCUUCCCUAUGACAACUAGUAAUUUUCUACUCGGGCUUGUUUUCACCUAAAUUAUAAAUCACGUCCAAAAGAGGAAAUACUUCUGGGUGAAGUAAUUGUUUCCUUGGACGAAGGUCAUUAUUGACUGUUUUCAAAGACAGAGAACGCUUUCGCAGGCACGUGCUCGACGUCAUUCACAAUAAUAUAGCUAAUAUAAGAUAAUUUGAAUAUUUUUUGUUUUGUUUCAACUAAUAAAAAUGGGGGAAUAAAGAAACAAACCUGAUCUACCAAGUGUGUGUGUCUGCAGAAGCUGGUUAUGAAGUUAUAUGAGGCAAGAGACAGUUACAGUAGGUAAAAAUAGUUAUGUAAGGUGUGAAAGUGGUUAAUACCCAAAACCCUAUAGAAAAAGAUAUAAGAUCUAACUGAACAAAAGGCAGUCUCGAAUAGUCGUGAACUGUAAAAUAUAUGUGUAUAUACAAAGGUAGUAGAUGUGUACAACUGUAUAAUUUUUAUUAUGAUCUGUACAAGAAAGUUAUAUAAUUUUAUCAUUAAACUGUUCAUAUGUUUUUUUUUUUCGUUGCCGAACCUACGAUAUUUAAGAUAUUUUUUUGAAUAAUUCUGACUGUAUAUUAUUCUGAAGUAAACGUUUUUGUACUAUGCAUAUUGCAUAAGUUUAAAAUUUUACAAUGAUCAGGUAAACGAGCCCCUAAGUGGUUCAGCGGUAAGUCUGAAGACUUGUAACGCUUAAAUCCGGGUGUCGAUACCCGUUAUAUAGGUAUCACUGAUAGACGUUUGUGUAGAUUUGUGUUUAACAACAAACAGGUAAACGAAUUUCUAAAUUUAUGAUUUUUUUACAGUAAAAGGUUUUAAUAUGUCGGUCUUUCAAUAAUUUGUCAGUGUUCGGUAGAAUUUAAAAUUACAAUUUUUUAGAUAAUUUGAAAAUAUACAGUUUUAUCAAAUAUUUAUUGAUUUUGUUGAAAUGGUACAAGAUUAAUUAAAAACCACCGACCAUGUGCUUAUAAUUUCAGAUAAUCGUUAUUUUAUGUGUUGUAAGCUAAUCUAAAGUUUUCACUUAUUUUUUACCCUUCCAUUUCCAGUAUCAUUAAAUUGCCAUUAGUGGAAUAUGUGACGUCAUCGUGUGAAUUAUGAGCUAUCACAAGCUGUGAAAUAUCUUCAACAUCGACAUCAGAUUUAUUUGAAGAGGUUUAUUCAGUAGGUUAGUCGAGUGACAAGGAGAUUCUUACCAGCAGAAGGGAGAGGUAAUGGACUUAAUGUUGAACAAGAAAUUGGUGUUGAACAGAUAGUGUACAAAUACGAAAGUGUGUCGGAAGUUCGACGCCAAUACGAAGCUUGUUGGAAGGAGACUCUACUACGUCCAAAAACAAUCAAAGUACUGAAAAAAGAAAUAUGAAGAAACUAUUUCGGUACAUCAUGUAUCUAGAAAUGUCUUCCAUGUAAAGUUAACGUCGAACAAACGAGUAACUUUUGAAAAUGAGCUGGUUUAAAGUUCGCAGGAAUCCAGUCGACAUUUGUCAGCAGAGCAUUUAAAGGAAUAUCUCUAGAAAUGACUACUUCUUGCAGAUCGGUUAUAACUUAGUAUGAAAUAUGCAUGAAUGCCGAAGGCGGGCAUUUUGAGCAUAUUAAGACAUAAGACCGUAGUUUACUAGGUAAUUUUUUGGACAAUGUUUUAGAAAUCCGUAUUUAAUAAACUUUCAACAUUUUCAACCGCACUUUUAAUUUACAAUAGAAAGAAAAGGGACUAGAAAAUCGUGAAAUUUCUAGUAAAAUUAGCAAAUAACGGGUUUUUUUUUAAAUAAAACUAUUGCAACCGUGAAGGGCAACUUUGUUGUUUCUGUUUUUUUUUAACUACUUUUAUUUGAAAAGUUUUAGUACAGCUUUAACAAUUUAUUUUAAGAUGUGUGGUAAAAUGUUAUGGGUUACUUGUUUAAACUUCAUAAAACAAUAACGAUAUUAUAAACAUGUUGUGCAGGAGAGGUAGAAACUUCGCUACUCAACUACUGAAAAAAAAUCACAUUUUAUUACUUUAUUAUUAAACUGUUUUCUGCAACUAGCACAAAACACCCGCUUCGGAGUUUAAAGGCCCCUCAUGAUUCACAGAGGUCUCAGAAUACAUAUCAAGGCUCUUCGUUGUGCCUAAUUACUUCUUUGCUACCCCAAGGUCCGUGCCCGAAAAAAAAAAAAACCGUUGGGACAGCCGCUCAUGGUACCCGAACACGUGUACUUGUUUGGUCCUUCUAGCCUAUGAGAGAAGAUAUGAAUACAAUUUCAAACAUGGCAUCCCUGGAUCCCGAGGAGCGUUAAGAAACACAAAAUACAAUGCCAAAUUCGGAUUCAAUGAUCUGAAAACCCACAUCAUUUCUGUAAGACCUUCUGGGUACGUUUUAUCCUCUUUAGGCCCCUUGGUGGGUGGAUACGUCAUAUAGAUAAAAACACCCCGGGCCUCGUUGAGUCAGCAUAGCAACUUAGGUUCUGUUAGCUCCAAAACUGUGGGAUGAGUUCGCCGAUAAACAAACACACAACUUGGAUUAAAACUAUACGACAAAUGUGCUUUAUCUAUCACCAGAUACAUGUUUUUACGACACGGCAUUAAAUAAGUAUUUGGGUUAUUGGUAAAUUAUUUGUUCAUUAAUGUCUGCCAGAUACGAAUAUUUUUUUCUGAUUGCUUCAAAAUAUGUAUACUUUUAGCAUACAUAUGUGUAUAUAUUGUUCUUCAGUAGCUGCUGACGAUUGCAUUUUGUAAUUUUUUUUUUGUGCCUUUUUUACAAGGAAAAUAUUUGUAUUUCUUCUAACUCACAAAUACAAAACAUGGUUUAAUCUUUUCAAUCACUCAACUUGAUAAUAAGAACUUAUUUUAAUCUAAUUCUACUUAAUAUCUGAUUCGACAAAUAGGUUAAUUGAAGUUGUAAUAAAAACCAAAAUUUAUCAGCGGCUUUUAUACUGUGUAAUGACGUGGAUCUUAAACUAUUCGAAUCCUAAAAGCGGCGUUGUUUUUUUUUAGCAACAUGUUGAUAAUAAAGGUAAUUGAAUAGGACGAUUCGUAAAAGUGAUUAGAUAUUUUGUGGUCACGAUCAAUACGUUUGUCUAACGUGAGAUUGAACACCGUAUCAUAAUCCCGAGGAGCGGGGACAUAACUACAACAUAUGCUCCCUUUCCCCCGCCCCUCGCCUUAACAUGGAGAGAGCAGCUCAUUUCUUCCUCUCCUUAACUUACUAUCCAAUAACCAUCCAUCUUCUACUUGUCCAGGAACAGGCAUUUUGUUAACCACUGUACAACAAAAAACAACGUGGGAGAGGGGGGAUUCUUGCAUUCCUUCUGAACAAGAAAGCUGAGUACCCGCCAAAACCUGUCUUAUCUUUAUGUUUAUCUACAUCUUGCAAUGGCAUAGCGGUUUGAGUAACGGUGACAAUGUCGGUAAAUAACCUUGGUCGUGCAUUUAAUAAUAACAGGAAGGUAGACGUACAAUACUGAUGAACAACGAGUUUUAGUGUGUUAAAAUGUUUGCAUAAUGUGUAUCAGAGAUAAUAAUGUAUGUGUUACGAUUAAAGUAUAAAAUACGUGAUGAA